This 253-nucleotide ribosomal RNA is filed under the name uncultured bacterium. RNAcentral's name for it is "partial 16S ribosomal RNA". It matches the Rfam family "Bacterial small subunit ribosomal RNA", at positions 524 to 776 of the family's 1533-position model. The record is from RNAcentral.
UACGGAGGGUGCGAGCGUUGUUCGGAAUCACUGGGCGUAAAGCGCGUGUAGGCGGUUCUCUAAGUCUGAUGUGAAAGCCCGGGGCUCAACUCCGGAAGUGCAUUGGAUACUGGGGAACUCGAGUACCGGAGAGGAGGGUGGAAUUCCUGGUGUAGCGGUGAAAUGCGUAGAUAUCAGGAGGAACACCUGUGGCGAAGGCGGCCCUCUGGACGGAUACUGACGCUGAGACGCGAAAGCGUGGGGAGCAAACAGG